Lacerta agilis (Sand lizard) is the source of this 559-nucleotide long non-coding RNA. RefSeq lists it as uncharacterized. The record is from RefSeq and is a predicted model, not a curated record. NCBI's taxonomy places the organism in Eukaryota, Metazoa, Chordata, Lepidosauria, Squamata, Lacertidae. The transcript has 5 exons.
UUGACAGUAGCUUCGAACAAUAAAUUUAGCAAAUGAAAUUUCCAUAUGAGGGAACAUUUUAUUUGCUGUAUUUCUGUGUGUCAGGCUGCAGUUAAACUUGCCCAAACAGAACCAGAGAAAAGCGAGGCAAGAGUAAAAGAAGAAGAAACAGGACGUGAGAAGUGAGUGAGAAGUUGGUAACUUCUGCAUUGGCAGGUUCCUUUUCCUGAGCCAGGACUGUGAGGUUUAAAAGGCUCCCCCCCCCCCAACUCGUCUGCAGCUGCAGCAACCCUGCCGUGUCUUCUGGCUCCGGGAGCUUUGAAUUAAUCUGCCAGGACUGGGCAUUCAGACCUCUAAUCCAAAGGACUGUCAGAGAAGAGGGUCCUCUAUGUGAAGACAACACGCUAUCCGAAGGCUGUUCAGUCCAAGUUUGGUUAAAACAACAAAGAACCAUAAAAACAGAGAGCAAGAGAUUUGAAGUUGACCAUCAGCAGUAAGGACACCAUGGUGAGCCAGAACUUGCCGGAACUCGGGUGGACGCCAUUGUCAUGAUAAAAGAAUAAGGGAGGUGUUCACAGUG